RNAcentral lists this ribosomal RNA (406 nucleotides) under uncultured bacterium. RNAcentral's name for it is "partial 16S ribosomal RNA". It matches the Rfam family "Bacterial small subunit ribosomal RNA", at positions 30 to 526 of the family's 1533-position model. The record is from RNAcentral.
AUUGAACGCUGGCGGCAGGCCUAACACAUGCAAGUCGAGCGAGCGGCGGACGGGUGAGUAAUGUCUGGGACACUGCCUGAUGGAGGGGGGUCACUACUGGAAACGGUAGCUAACCCCGCAUACCCUCAGAAGUGCCUAUAUGGGAUUAUCUAGUAGGUGGGGUAAUGGCUCACAUAGGCGAAGCUCCCUAGCUGGUCUGAGAGGAUGACCAGCCACACUGGAACUGAGACACGGUCCAGACUCCUAAGGGAGGCAGCAGUGGGGAAUAUUGCACAAUGGGCGCAAGCCUGAUGCAGCCAUGCCGCGUGUAUGAAGAAGGCCUUCGGGUUGUAAAGCACUUUCAGCGAGGAGGCGUUACUGGCAGAAGAAGCACCGGCUAACUCCGUGCCAGCCGCCGCGGUAAUAC